This 181-nucleotide ribosomal RNA is filed under the name uncultured bacterium. RNAcentral's name for it is "partial 16S ribosomal RNA". It matches the Rfam family "Bacterial small subunit ribosomal RNA", at positions 312 to 506 of the family's 1533-position model. The record is from RNAcentral.
CUGGGACCUGAGACACGGCCCAGACUCCUACGGGAGGCACGCAGUGGGGAAUCUUGGACAAUGGGGGCAACCCUGAUCCACGCCAUGCCGCGUGAGUGAUGAAGGCCCUAGGGUCGUAAAGCUCUUUCGCCUGUGAAGCAUAAUGACGGUAGCAGGUAAAGAAACCCCGGCUAACUCCCGU